Long non-coding RNA from Bos taurus (domestic cattle), 1886 nucleotides. The record is from Ensembl. Lineage: Eukaryota; Metazoa; Chordata; Mammalia; Artiodactyla; Bovidae.
UAAUUAGCCUUCAUGCAUAUGGAUGGCACCGCAGAUUGAACGCGGUGGAGGGGUCGUGACCUGACCCGGGUGAGGCAAGCAGAAAGAAAGGGCUGCUUUCCCCAGCUCGGUCCCUAAUUGAAAGCCCAGUUGCCGGGCGCAGCGCCGGGGUGUGAUCGCCGCCGCCCCAUUGCUCCUGCAGAAGAAACAUUUGCGGGGGUGGGAGCGGGGGGAGUCACUGUCCCCGGCGCCCGGCCCCCAUUAGCAGCCAUCCCCCUGAUCUGUCGCCGUAAUGAUAUCUGCGCUGGGAAUUGACUCCGCAGCUUUCCUUUUCCGUGAUGGUUUUCAUUUCCUGUCAUUUAAAGCUGGAAGCCUUUAUGGAAUAUCACAUGGUUUUCGUUUACACAGGAAAUCAGCUGCAGUUGUGAGAAGAUGCCGACUUACUUUUUUGUUUGUUUGUUUUUUAAUCCUCCCUCCCUUAAAAAAAAAAAAAAAAAAAAGGAAAGGGGGCAAAAAGCGCCAGCUUGCAGUAUUUUGUUUUGAAACAGUUUUCCUUUUUGAUCCUAAGUCCCUCUUCUCCGAAGUGGUCUGUGGUUAUACAGAAAAGCAGCAGUUUCUUUCUGACACGUGGUAAUCACUUUACGUGAAGAAAGCCCAGCGCCAAGGGAUGCUCUGGCUUUUUCCAGACCAAGGUAGGGGCGGGGGCGCCGCGGGACCCGCUGCGAUCCGCUCUGGGAGCGGUGGACUCGGCGCCUAUCCUGUGAAGAUGGCACGUACUGCCCAGUGAACGUCCUGGGACCCCUCUGCCAGAACCCGAAAAGAGCGGUGUCCUGCCCCACCGCCCCCGCCGACCACAAUUCGAAGUCUUUGACCUGGCCCCAACCCCUCACCCCAGCAAUUGGAGAAUCGCUGGGCUUUAUAAUGGGGAUUGAGGAUGGCAUGGAAGAAUUCGCGCUUCAUUCUUUAAACGCCGCCCUCCAGUUACUACUGAGUUAGGCACUCCAGACUGGAAGCACCCCAGACCUCCAAGACCUCACUCCGCGGUCACCCUCUCUCCCCCGGCGUUCCCCAUCCUCCCCGCCCGGAGGGCAACUAGACGGCCCUGGGCAACAGCGCCACCUGGUGCCCAGCGUCCGUCCCCAAGCGAUUUGUUUUCCGGGAUGCUGAACAACCCACCUUUAGAGAGUAAGGGUGCAGAGUGGAUUCCGGGCUACAGAGCAGCCGCCACGGGGAAUUGACGGGGUCCCCAACUCCUUUCCUCUUUUCUGAAGGAGCUUAAAAUGCAGGGGACAGGAGUUUGUCCUUUCCUGUCAUUUCCUGAAACACUCCUCAAUAACAGACCCAUUCCUUUGAUUUCAGGCUGAGCCCUCAAUUAAAUGGGAACUGCCCUUGAAGAGAUGCGACUUAAGCAGCUAUUUAAUUUUAUUCUUUAUUAUUUUUUAUUAUUUAUUUAUUUAUUUAUCCUUGGCUGUGCUGGGUCUUCAUUGCUAUGCUGGCUUUUCUUUAGUUAUGCUGGCCUUUAGGGAUGACCGAACACCAAACUUCAAAACUCACCAAGGUUCCUUGGAGGAGGAGGAAGGAGCAGUUUACUUGCCCACCGGCAGGAGGUGCUAGAGCCAGUGCCACGCUUGGGAGCGCCGCUGGACUCGAGCCUGGAGGGUACCUACGAGGUGGCCUGCCUAGCCCUCCUUUUGCAGAUGUGGAAACUGGGCCAAAGCGGUGACAUGACUAUCCAAGGUCACAUGGACAGAACUGACCCCAGGCCAGUCUAAUGUUUGAGGCCAACACCCACUCUCAUUCACUCUGUUGUUCUGUCUCAUCUUUUAAGUGUAAACCACUGGGGGGGUGGGAAUCAAUAUAUCCUCAAUUAAAGUAAAAUUCUUCAAUAAAUAUCUGACAUUAAAAAA